Molecule: ribosomal RNA, 547 nt
Filed under: uncultured bacterium
Lineage: Bacteria
Description: partial 16S ribosomal RNA
Rfam family: Bacterial small subunit ribosomal RNA
Source: RNAcentral
UAGGGAAUCUUCGGCAACGGGGGCAACCCUGACCGAGCAACGCCGCGUGAGUGAAGAAGGUUUUCGGAUCGUAAAGCUCUGUUGUAAGUCAAGAACGGGUGUGAGAGUGGAAAGUUCACACUGUGACGGUAGCUUACCAGAAAGGGACGGCUAACUACGUGCCAGCAGCCGCGGUAAUACGUAGGUCCCGAGCGUUGUCCGGAUUUAUUGGGCGUAAAGCGAGCGCAGGCGGUUUGAUAAGUCUGAAGUUAAAGGCUGUGGCUCAACCAUAGUUCGCUUUGGAAACUGUCAAACUUGAGUGCAGAAGGGGAGAGUGGAAUUCCAUGUGUAGCGGUGAAAUGCGUAGAUAUAUGGAGGAACACCGGUGGCGAAAGCGGCUCUCUGGUCUGUAACUGACGCUGAGGCUCGAAAGCGUGGGGAGCGAACAGGAUUAGAUACCCUGGUAGUCCACGCCGUAAACGAUGAGUGCUAGGUGUUGGAUCCUUUCCGGGAUUCAGUGCCACAGCUAACGCAUUAAGCACUCCGCCUGGGGAGUACGACCGCAAGG